Molecule: ribosomal RNA, 165 nt
Filed under: uncultured bacterium
Lineage: Bacteria
Description: partial 16S rRNA
Rfam family: Bacterial small subunit ribosomal RNA
Source: RNAcentral
UAGGGAAUCUUCCACAAUGGACGAAAGUCUGAUGGAGCAACGCCGCGUGAGUGAAGAAGGGUUUUCGGCUCGUAAAACUCUGUUGUUAAAGAAGAACAUAUCUGAGAGUAACUGUUCAGGUAUUGACGGUAUUUAACCAGAAAGCCACGGCUAACUACGUGCCCG